CAUACUGAUCCGCGAUUACUAGCGAUUCCAGCUUCACGCAGUCGAGUUGCAGACUGCGAUCCGAACUGAGAACAGAUUUGUGGGAUUGGCUAAACCUUGCGGUCUCGCAGCCCUUUGUUCUGUCCAUUGUAGCACGUGUGUAGCCCAGGUCAUAAGGGGCAUGAUGAUUUGACGUCAUCCCCACCUUCCUCCGGUUUGUCACCGGCAGUCACCUUAGAGUGCCCAACUAAAUGCUGGCAACUAAGAUCAAGGGUUGCGCUCGUUGCGGGACUUAACCCAACAUCUCACGACACGAGCUGACGACAACCAUGCACCACCUGUCACUCUGUCCCCGAAGGGAAAGCCCUAUCUCUAGGGUUGUCAGAGGAUGUCAAGACCUGGUAAGGUUCUUCGCGUUGCUUCGAAUUAAACCACAUGCUCCACCGCUUGUGCGGGCCCCCGUCAAUUCCUUUGAGUUUCAGUCUUGCGACCGUACUCCCCAGGCGGAGUGCUUAAUGCGUUAGCUGCAGCACUAAGGGGCGGAAACCCCCUAACACUUAGCACUCAUCGUUUACGGCGUGGACUACCAGGGUAUCUAAUCCUGUUCGCUCCCCACGCUUUCGCUCCUCAGCGUCAGUUACAGACCAGAGAGUCGCCUUCGCCACUGGUGUUCCUCCACAUCUCUACGCAUUUCACCGCUACACGUGGAAUUCCACUCUCCUCUUCUGCACUCAAGUUUCCCAGUUUCCAAUGACCCUCCCCGGUUGAGCCGGGGGCUUUCACAUCAGACUUAAGAAACCGCCUGCGAGCCCUUUACGCCCAAUAAUUCCGGACAACGCUUGCCACCUACGUAUUACCGCGGCUGCUGGCACGUAGUUAGCCGUGGCUUUCUGGUUAGGUACCGUCAAGGUGCAAGCAGUUACUCUUGCACUUGUUCUUCCCUAACAACAGAGCUUUACGAUCCGAAAACCUUCAUCACUCACGCGGCGUUGCUCCGUCAGACUUUCGUCCAUUGCGGAAGAUUCCCUACUGCUGCCUCCCGUAGGAGUCUGGGCCGUGUCUCAGUCCCAGUGUGGCCGAUCACCCUCUCAGGUCGGCUACGCAUCGUCGCCUUG
Molecule: ribosomal RNA, 1094 nt
Filed under: Bacillus aerophilus
Lineage: Bacteria; Bacillati; Bacillota; Bacilli; Caryophanales; Bacillaceae
Description: partial 16S ribosomal RNA
Source: RNAcentral